RNAcentral lists this non-coding RNA (23 nucleotides) under Mus musculus (house mouse). The record is from RNAcentral. Lineage: Eukaryota; Metazoa; Chordata; Mammalia; Rodentia; Muridae.
UGUUGCUGUGUCCCUGCUGAGUU